RNAcentral lists this ribosomal RNA (253 nucleotides) under uncultured bacterium. RNAcentral describes it as "partial 16S ribosomal RNA". It matches the Rfam family "Bacterial small subunit ribosomal RNA", at positions 524 to 776 of the family's 1533-position model. The record is from RNAcentral.
GACGUAGGGUGCGAGCGUUGUCCGGAUUUAUUGGGCGUAAAGAGCUCGUAGGCGGCUUGUUACGUCGGCUGUGAAAACCCGCGGCUCAACCGCGGGCCUGCAGCCGAUACGGGCAGGCUAGAGUUCGGUAGGGGAGACUGGAAUUCCUGGUGUAGCGGUGAAAUGCGCAGAUAUCAGGAGGAACACCAAUGGCGAAGGCAGCUCGCUGGGACGUGACUGACGCUGAGACGCGAAAGCGUGGGGAGCAAACAGG